This 253-nucleotide ribosomal RNA is filed under the name uncultured bacterium. RNAcentral's name for it is "partial 16S ribosomal RNA". It matches the Rfam family "Bacterial small subunit ribosomal RNA", at positions 524 to 776 of the family's 1533-position model. The record is from RNAcentral.
UACGUAGGUGGCAAGCGUUGUCCGGAUUUACUGGGCGUAAAGAGCGCGCAGGUGGUCGUUCAAGUCGCGUGUGAAAGCCCCCGGCUCAACUGGGGAGGGUCACGCGAUACUGAUCGACUCGAAGGCAGGAGAGGGUAGUGGAAUUCCCGGUGUAGUGGUGAAAUGCGUAGAGAUGCGGAGGAACACCGAUGGCGAAGGCAGCCCCCUGGGCCAACACUGACGCUCAGGCACGAAAGCGUGGGGAGCAAACAGG